This 1095-nucleotide ribosomal RNA is filed under the name Galaxea fascicularis. RNAcentral describes it as "eukaryotic LSU rRNA". The stretch from base 831 to 1095 matches the Rfam family "Eukaryotic large subunit ribosomal RNA", at positions 1 to 261 of the family's 3401-position model. The record is from RNAcentral. Lineage: Eukaryota; Metazoa; Cnidaria; Anthozoa; Scleractinia; Euphylliidae.
ACUACCGAUUGAAUGGUUUAGUGAGGUCUCCUGACUGGCCCCGCUGCCGCGGCUCCGCCUCGGCGCCGGCCGCCGGAAAGUUGCUCAAACUUGAUCAUUUAGAGGAAGUAAAAGUCGUAACAAGGUUUCCGUAGGUGAACCUGCGGAAGGAUCAUUACCGAUCCCAAUCCUCCCAUAGCGUGCAUCCCGCACCUUGCCUUGUGAACCGUACCUCUACUCUUCACCUAGGGGUCGGCCCCCGUGCCGUUAAAUGGUCGCUCGUCGUCCGAGAGUCCCUCUUCUCUCCCUCGGCGCCCGGCCGGCCCCGACUUUGUUUUUUUGCCAAAGACUUUGUCCGACUGAACCUGACCCGUCCCUCCCUCCUUCCUUCUCUCCCUCCUUCCUUGUCCGGGAGGCAGGCAGGCUGGCAGACAGGGCAGGACGGAUCCAACGCAUAAACAAACAGAGACAACUUUUGACGGUGGAUCUCUUGGCUCGCGCAUCGAUGAAGAACGCAGCCAGCUGCGAUAAGUAGUGUGAAUUGCAGAAUUCAGUGAAUCAUCGAAUCUUUAACGCAAAUGGCGCUCUUGGGGUUCUCCCAGGAGCACAUCCGUCUGAGUGUCGGAUACACACCAAGGCGCGCCCCAUUCCAACGGGCGCGGACUUGACGGCUCACGGCGGCUUCUCGCCCGCCGUGUCCCUCCUUGGCGUGGUGAUGCGAUGCCCCGCCUCGAUGCUGAGGCUUUAAGUGCCUUUGGCCCUCGGCGCUCGGAACGGCUGGGCCGCCACCGCCCGCCACUGGGACACUCUCCCACACCGAGACCUCGAUGCAUCCCCGCAUGCAUCCCUCUUGACCUCAGAUCGGGCAAGGCCACCCGCUGAAUUUAAGCAUAUUAAUAAGCGGAGGAAAAGAAACUAACAAGGAUUCCCCCAGUAACGGCGAGUGAAGCGGGAAACGCUCAAAUUUGAAAUCUCCGGCGCCUGCGCCGGCGACUUGUAGUUGCGAGAAGCGCCUUCUAGGCGGACCGGCCGCGCCUAAGUUGCUUGGAACCGCACGUCGCAGAGGGUGACAACCCCGUCUGUGGCGCCGCCGGCCGUCCACGAUGCGCUUUCCAA